CGCUUGCAGACUUAAUCUGUCAGUUUCUCCUUGUAAAUAGGUGAUUGCUGCUGCACGUUGCUUGGCAGUUACAUGUUAUACGUAUCGAGACGUUAGACGACUUUCGUGUGUCUGCUAUUUAGCCAGCAGUGCCGUACUGGCCAAUUGGUGAUCUACUUCGCUAAAUCGUCAAUUCACCGAGUAUAUACAAAAGAAAACACAAUUGGUCAGGUUAGAUAUAUUUAUUAGGUAAAACAUCAAGUGUAUUAGUUUUUAACGGUAUUAUUCAGCACAAUUCACAACAUUCCGAGACUCUUCUUUUCCAAGCCAGUUGGAAACUAAGUCGGUAAGGCGUCAUCUUUGUUGACGUCAAAGCGUUUGAAACUUCAAGUAACAUAUGGUAAAACUGAUCUAUAGUUGAAAGCUUUACAUUUCACACGCGCUACAUGGCACAAGCCGCUUUUCGGGAAAGUUUGCGGAAUAAUUGCACUGACGAAAUAAUGAAAUUUGAAACGUCGAGUAUUCGUUAUCUAGGCUAUUUCCAGAAGUCUACAAAUGAAAUUGAAGUUCCAAACCCUCCGGCGAAUGGCGUACCGUUCGAUUUGACGCCAGAACUUGGCGCUUUGGGUUCUUUCUGUUGCGACGCAUUGUUUUGCGACACGGAUCCAGCAGGAUGCGUCUGUUCCGUAACAGGAGAACGUUUUCCGCUUUGGGGCGAAAGGUACGAAGAACCAAAUAGCCCGGAAGUUCCAGGUGAGAUUUGUUUCCCCCCGGAAUUGCUCUUUACGUUUGGUGCUCGAUAUUGUACGUAAUUCCCUGACGUUGAUGGUCCGGCUUUCCCGCCUGGCCCAGGUGGGCCACGUUCUCCAGGCCGACCGGGAGGUCCUGGUGAACCGUCUUUACCUGCUUUCCCAGGUCCACUCUUUCCCUCUGGACCUGCUUUGCCUGGUGGACCUACGGGGCCUGCUUUUCCUUGUGGCCCUGCAGGUCCUAUGUGACCGAUAUGUCCUAUUUGGCCUGGAUGUCCAGGAGACCCAGUAAAACCGGG
Long non-coding RNA from Daphnia magna, 1027 nucleotides. RefSeq lists it as uncharacterized. NCBI's taxonomy places the organism in Eukaryota, Metazoa, Arthropoda, Branchiopoda, Diplostraca, Daphniidae. The record is from RefSeq and is a predicted model, not a curated record. The transcript has 3 exons.